Paramormyrops kingsleyae is the source of this 1168-nucleotide non-coding RNA. NCBI's taxonomy places the organism in Eukaryota, Metazoa, Chordata, Actinopteri, Osteoglossiformes, Mormyridae. The record is from RefSeq and is a predicted model, not a curated record.
UCAGGGAUGCGCAUGAUUCUCAUCUGACACCUGAGCGCUUACCGCAUCUGCGUGUUUACCGGAAGACAGACACCUUAAUGACUAUCGAUUAGAGCUGGGAGAUCAGAGCCCCCCCAGUGAACAGCUGCGAAGGAGUUCACCUCUGAUAAACCAAGGCAUUGGACCCAAACUGCCAGCGCUGCCGUCUGGGAGUUGGCGUCCUGUGCUGUUUCUGAAGUAGGCGUCGCCGCACUGAUCCGCCUUUGCACCAUCCCUCCCAUCCCCAGAGGCGGACCUUCCUGCUGUGCUUCCCUCUACCUCCCAAUAAACCACCAUGUAGGAGAAAGUCAGAAGGUUCUCCAUUCUCCUUCGAAGAAUAUCUCUCUGCUGACUCUAAUCAGAGACUCUCCUCAAAAUGCACAUGAAACUUUUCUUUUUAUGCGGAGGAAACGAGGCAGUGUUUGUGAGGAGCAUCAAAACCUUCAGUGCACAAGCUCCCUUUCUGCAGAAGAGACGUGCACAAAGACACAGACUGCAAUACUGUUUCUAUGUACCUGUGGCCAAUGAAAUGCACUGUGCUUCGGGUUGCAUCUCUGCGUAAAAAGAAUAUCUACACUAAGAGAUAGAAAAGCAAACACAAAAUAGAUGCAUAGAACGAGAGGUUUACCUAGUCAAACCCACGGGCACGUUACAUAAUCAUUGUCUUUCACAGCAUUGACAACCUCCCACCUUUAAUUCAGCAGUAGAAUAUACAUGCUGAAGGUUUCUCCUUACAAGUUCUGUAUUUUAGACAUAAGAUGCCAAUAAAUUCUUUCAGAUGUGCAUGCAAGCAUCUGCCUAGUGCUGUUUAGACUGGCAACUCUACAAGUUAUGAGGGGCGGCUGUUAACAGGUCCUGCCCGUGCCAUCAGAGCACAUAAAUACUAAUUGCUUUGACCCUUAUUUACACAGGAAGGAGAACAUGCCAAGUAUUUGAGCCAAAAAAAAAAAAAAAAAAACUCAAACAAACAGUGUGAUGUGACUAAGUGUCGGCACAGUCAAACGAUCAGCAGGAGGGACAACUUCUGCUACUGCAAACAAUUUGUUUCCAUCCAUGGGUAGUUUGUUUGUUGUUAUAAAACAGUCAGACUUAUGUCUUUUACCUGUAUGAAUGAACUAUUGAUUAAAUGCCUUGGCAGGUUAGAGCUGUA